Small nuclear RNA from Cebus imitator (Panamanian white-faced capuchin), 107 nucleotides. The record is from Ensembl. NCBI's taxonomy places the organism in Eukaryota, Metazoa, Chordata, Mammalia, Primates, Cebidae.
GUGCUUGCUUCAGCAGCACAUAUACAAAAAUUGGAACGAUACAGAGAAUAUUAGCGUGGCCCCUGCCCAAGGAUCACAUGCAAAUUUGUGAAGCAUUCCAUAUUUUU